CGCGUAGGCGGCUGUUCAAGUCGGGGGUGAAAUCCCGUGGCUCAACCACGGAAUGGCCUUCGAUACUGGACGGCUCGAGACCGGAAGAGGUGAGUGGAACUGCGAGUGUAGAGGUGAAAUUCGUAGAUACUCGCAAGAACACCAGUGGCGAAGGCGGCUCACUGGUCCGGUUCUGACGCUGAGGCGCGAAAGCGUGGGGAGCAAACA
This 207-nucleotide ribosomal RNA is filed under the name uncultured bacterium. Its description in RNAcentral is "partial 16S ribosomal RNA". It matches the Rfam family "Bacterial small subunit ribosomal RNA", at positions 568 to 774 of the family's 1533-position model. The record is from RNAcentral.